UGCAUUGGCUGUCGUCAGCUCGUGUCGUGAGAUGUUGGUUAGUCCCGCAACGAGCGCAACCCCUAUCUUUAAUUACCAUCAUUCAGUUGGGCACUUAGAGAGACUGCCGGUGUUAAGCCGGAGGAAGGUGGGGAUGACGUCAAGUCCUCAUGGCCUUUAUGUCUAGGGCUACACACGUGCUACAAUGGGUGGUACAAAGAGCAGCUAACUCGCGAGAGUAUGCAAAUCUCAAAAAGCCAUCCUCAGUUCGGAUUGGAGUCUGCAACUCGACUCCAUGAAGUUGGAAUCGCUAGUAAUCGCGGAUCAGCAUGCCGCGGUGAAUACGUUCCCGGGCCUU
This 337-nucleotide ribosomal RNA is filed under the name uncultured Smithella sp. Its description in RNAcentral is "bacterial SSU rRNA". It matches the Rfam family "Bacterial small subunit ribosomal RNA", at positions 1042 to 1382 of the family's 1533-position model. Lineage: Bacteria; Pseudomonadati; Thermodesulfobacteriota; Syntrophia; Syntrophales; Smithellaceae. The record is from RNAcentral.